GAAUUCACUAGUGAUUCAGGCCUAACACAUGCAAGUCGAACGGCAGCACGGGGGCAACCCUGGUGGAAAAAAGCGAACGGGUGAGUAAUAUAUCGGAACGUACCCAGUAGUGGGGGAUAACUAUCCGAAGAGGAUAGGUAAUACCGCAUACGGUCUGUGGAUGAAAGCAGGGGAUCUUCGGACCGUGUGCUAUUGGAAUGGCCGAUGUGUGAUUAGCUAGUUGGUAGGGUAAAAGCCUACCAAGGCGACGAUCAGUAGCUGGUCUGAGAGGACGACCAGCCACACUGGAACUGGGACACGGUCCAGACUCCUACGGGAGGCAGCAGUGGGGAAUUUUGGACAA
Molecule: ribosomal RNA, 343 nt
Filed under: uncultured bacterium
Lineage: Bacteria
Description: bacterial SSU rRNA
Rfam family: Bacterial small subunit ribosomal RNA
Source: RNAcentral